CUCGCCGCCGCCGCCGCCGCCGCCGCGACACGGCGCGCAUAUGGUCGUCGUUGUCGUCGUCGUCGCUGGAGAAGACGAAGAAAGAUAGUAGACCUGAGCUGGGGGGGCGAUCGACGAUGGAGUUCGUGGCGCACGCGGCGGCGCCGGACAGCCCGCACUCGGACAGCGGCGGAGGAGGAGGGGGAAUGGCGACGGGGGCGACGUCGGCGUCGGCGUCGGCGUCGGCGGCGGGGGCGUCGCCGAGCAGGUACGAGUCGCAGAAGCGGCGGGACUGGAACACGUUCGGGCAGUACCUCCGCAACCACCGGCCGCCGCUGUCGCUGGCGCGGUGCAGCGGCGCGCACGUCCUGGAGUUCCUCCGCUACCUGGACCAGUUCGGCAAGACCAAGGUGCACGCGCCGGCGUGCCCCUUCUUCGGCCACCCGGCGCCGCCGGCGCCGUGCCCGUGCCCGCUCCGCCAGGCGUGGGGCAGCCUCGACGCCCUCGUCGGCCGCCUCCGCGCCGCCUACGAGGAGAACGGCGGCCGCCCCGAGAACAACCCCUUCGGCGCCCGCGCCGUCCGCCUCUACCUCCGCGAGGUCCGCGAGCACCAGGCGCGCGCCCGCGGCGUCAGCUACGAGAAGAAGAAGCGCAAGAAGCCACCCCACCCCUCCUCCGCCGCCGCCGCGCACGACGACGCCGCCAACGGCGCCCUCCACCACCACCACCACAUGCCGCCGCCUCCUCCCGGCGCCGCCGCCUGAGCCGAGCCGAGCUUGCUCCAAGAUCGCCGGAAAACGAGCUGCUAGCCUCCUACUACGCAUGCACUAGUUACUCCACUCCACUCCACUCCACUAUGAUCCCUAGCUAGGCUGCUCUUGCUACUAGCAAAACUACGGAUUAAUCUCCAUGCUUGCUACUGCUGCUGCUGCUGCUACUGCAUCUAAUUAAUUAGGUUGAUUAUUUCCU
RNAcentral lists this long non-coding RNA (948 nucleotides) under Oryza sativa aromatic subgroup. Its description in RNAcentral is "lncRNA OsARC_10g0014640". Lineage: Eukaryota; Viridiplantae; Streptophyta; Magnoliopsida; Poales; Poaceae. The record is from RNAcentral.